GCAGACGAGUUCCAUGCUGAGAGAGAAUAAGUUCAACACCAGAAUCCAAAGACUUGGCAAAUCUCCACUUGCCAUAGAACCAACCAGCACCAACUGCAAGGUUGAUGCGGAAUAGGUUAUGCAGUCUUCGAGUAACUAACCAAGUGGCAAGGGAAGCACCAAUUGCACCAAUGCCAAAAUCUCUUACAGCAGAUUGCUUCCAUGAAUUUAGUAGUUUACUUUCUUCAGUUGUCAAAUUAACCUUUCUGGAGAUGAGAAGUUCAUUCAAUUCCAUGAGCGAGUCUGCCAUUGUUGCGCCUAAUUUCAGGGUCUGAUCCGAUCAAAGG
Molecule: unclassified non-coding RNA, 326 nt
Filed under: Hevea brasiliensis (rubber tree)
Lineage: Eukaryota; Viridiplantae; Streptophyta; Magnoliopsida; Malpighiales; Euphorbiaceae
Source: RNAcentral